Molecule: transfer RNA, 88 nt
Filed under: Candidatus Heimdallarchaeota archaeon
Lineage: Archaea; Promethearchaeati; Candidatus Heimdallarchaeota
Description: tRNA-Leu
Rfam family: tRNA
About the family: Transfer RNA (tRNA) molecules are approximately 80 nucleotides in length. Their secondary structure includes four short double-helical elements and three loops (D, anti-codon, and T loops). Further hydrogen bonds mediate the characteristic L-shaped molecular structure. tRNAs have two regions of fundamental functional importance: the anti-codon, which is responsible for specific mRNA codon recognition, and the 3' end, to which the tRNAs corresponding amino acid is attached (by aminoacyl-tRNA synthetases). tRNAs cope with the degeneracy of the genetic code in two manners: having more than one tRNA (with a specific anti-codon) for a particular amino acid; and 'wobble' base-pairing, i.e. permitting non-standard base-pairing at the 3rd anti-codon position.
Source: RNAcentral
GCGGAGGUAGCCCAGCUAGGUCAACGGCGGAGGACUUAAGAUCCUCUCCUGUAGAGGUUCGUGUGUUCAAAUCGCGCCCUCCGCACCA